RNAcentral lists this ribosomal RNA (252 nucleotides) under uncultured bacterium. RNAcentral describes it as "partial 16S ribosomal RNA". It matches the Rfam family "Bacterial small subunit ribosomal RNA", at positions 524 to 776 of the family's 1533-position model. The record is from RNAcentral.
UACGUAGGUGGCAAGCGUUGUCCGGAAUCACUGGGCGUAAAGGGCGCGUAGGCGGCUGUUCAAGUCGGGGGUGAAAGCCUGUGGCUCAACCACAGAAUUGCCUCGAUACUGGACGGCUCGAGACCGGAAGAGGUCAGUGGAACUGCGAGUGUAGAGGUGAAAUUCGUAGAUAUUCGCAAGAACACCAGUGGCGAAGGCGGCUGACUGGCCCGAUACUGACGCUGAUGCACGAAAGCGUGGGGAGCAAACAGG